CCUAUCUAUAUGUGUCCCCCUUG
RNAcentral lists this small RNA (23 nucleotides) under Arabidopsis thaliana (thale cress). Its description in RNAcentral is "ATSL241260". Lineage: Eukaryota; Viridiplantae; Streptophyta; Magnoliopsida; Brassicales; Brassicaceae. The record is from RNAcentral.